UGGGGAAUCUUGCACAAUGGGCGAAAGCCUGAUGCAGCAACGCCGCGUGCGGGAUGAAGGCCUUCGGGUUGUAAACCGCUUUCAGCAGGGAUGAAAAUGACAGUACCUGCAGAAGAAGCCCCGGCUAACUACGUGCCAGCAGCCGCGGUAAUACGUAGGGGGCAAGCGUUAUCCGGAUUUAUUGGGCGUAAAGAGCGCGUAGGCGGGCUAUUAAGCGAGAUGUGAAAACUGGGGGCUCAACCCGCAGCUUGCAUCUCGAACUGGUAGCCUUGAGUCUGGUAGAGGAGUGUGGAAUUCCCAGUGUAGCGGUGAUAUGCGCAGAUAUUGGGAGGAACACCAGUGGCGAAGGCGGCACUCUGGGCCACGACUGACGCUGAGGCGCGAAAGCUAGGGGAGCGAACA
RNAcentral lists this ribosomal RNA (402 nucleotides) under uncultured Coriobacteriaceae bacterium. Its description in RNAcentral is "partial 16S ribosomal RNA". It matches the Rfam family "Bacterial small subunit ribosomal RNA", at positions 355 to 774 of the family's 1533-position model. Lineage: Bacteria; Bacillati; Actinomycetota; Coriobacteriia; Coriobacteriales; Coriobacteriaceae. The record is from RNAcentral.